This 206-nucleotide ribosomal RNA is filed under the name uncultured bacterium. RNAcentral describes it as "partial 16S ribosomal RNA". It matches the Rfam family "Bacterial small subunit ribosomal RNA", at positions 568 to 774 of the family's 1533-position model. The record is from RNAcentral.
UGUGUAGACGGCAAAGUAAGUCAAUUAUUAAAUCUCCUAGCUUAACUAGGAAUCUGUGAUUGAAACUGUUUUGCUUGAGGAUGGAAGAGAGAAGCGGAAUUCUCGGAGUAGCGGUAAAAUGCGUAGAUCUCGAGAGGAACACCGAUGGCGAAGGCAGCUUCUUGGUCCAUUUCUGACGUUGAGGCACGAAAGCGUGGGAGCAAACA